This 1433-nucleotide ribosomal RNA is filed under the name metagenome. Its description in RNAcentral is "bacterial LSU rRNA". It matches the Rfam family "Bacterial large subunit ribosomal RNA", at positions 1424 to 2881 of the family's 2925-position model. The record is from RNAcentral.
AACGGGUUAAUAUUCCCGUACUAGUUAUUACUGUGAUGGGGUGACGGAGCAUUGAAAGUGUCGCCGGCUGACGGAAUAGCCGGUUGAAGGUUGUAGCUAAAGAUUAGAUAGUAAAAUGCGUUUAAUCUGGCAAAGACUGAUAGUACUUAGAAGCUUCGGCGGAUAAGAUAGUACACCUAAAAACCUCCAAGAAAAACCUCUAAACUUCAGGUAAUAAGUACCCGUACCGUAAACCGACACAGGUAGUUGGGAUGAGAAUUCUAAGGUGCUCGAGAGAUUCAUGGCUAAGGAAUUAGGCAAAAUAGACCUGUAACUUCGGGAAAAAGGUCGCCAGCAGCAAUGUUGGCCGCAGAGAAAUGAUCCAGGCGACUGUUUAUCAAAAACACAGGGCUCUGCCAAAUCGUAAGAUGAAGUAUAGGGCCUGACACCUGCCCGGUGCUGGAAGGUUAAGAGGAGAUGUUAUGGGCAACCAGAAGCAUUGAAUUGAAGCCCCAGUAAACGGCGGCCGUAACAAUAACGGUCCUAAGGUAGCGAAAUUCCUUGUCGGGUAAGUUCCGACCUGCACGAAUGGUGUAACGAUCUGGAUACUGUCUCAGCCAUGAGCUCGGUGAAAUUGUAGUAUCGGUGAAGAUGCCGAUUACCCGCAGUGGGACGAAAAGACCCUGUGCACCUUUACUAUAGCUUAGUAUUGACUUUGGAUAAGUGAUGUGUAGGAUAGGUGGGAGACUAUGAAUUGGCGUCGCAAGGUGUCGAGGAGUCAUUGUUGAAAUACCACCCUUUACUUAUCUGAAGCCUAACUCCUGAAUAAAGGAGGACAUUGCUUGGUGGGUAGUUUGACUGGGGUGGUCGCCUCCAAAAGAGUAACGGAGGCUUCUAAAGGUUCCCUCAGCACGCUUGGUAACCGUGCGUAGAGUGCAAUGGCAAAAGGGGGCUUGACUGAGAGACAUACAGGUCGAUCAGGUACGAAAGUAGAGCAUAGUGAUCCGGUGGUUCCGUAUGGAAGGGCCAUCGCUCAAAGGAUAAAAGGUACGCCGGGGAUAACAGGCUGAUCUCCCCCAAGAGCUCAUAUCGACGGGGGGGUUUGGCACCUCGAUGUCGGCUCGUCACAUCCUGGGGCUGGAGAAGGUCCCAAGGGUUGGGCUGUUCGCCCAUUAAAGUGGCACGCGAGCUGGGUUCAGAACGUCGUGAGACAGUUCGGUCUCUAUCUACUGCGGGCGCAAGAAAUUUGAGUGGAUCUGACUCUAGUACGAGAGGACCGAGUUGGACUGACCUCUAGUGUAUCUGUUGUCUCGCCAGGGGCAUUGCAGAGUAGCUACGUCGGGCAGGGAUAAGCGCUGAAAGCAUAUAAGCGCGAAACCCACCACAAGAUGAGAUUUCUUUAAAGGGUCGUGGAAGAUGACCACGUUGAUAGGCUAUAGGUGUAAAGGCAGUAA